GCAAGUCGAGCGACGCGCUCUUUCGGGGGUGACGGAGCGGCGAACGGGUGAGUAACACGUGGGCAACCUGCCCUCAGCUCUGGGACAACUCCGGGAAACCGGGGCUAAUACCGGAUACGACAUCGGAUCGCAUGGUCUGGUGUGGAAAGUUUUUCGGCUGAGGAUGGGCCCGCGGCCUAUCAGCUUGUUGGUGGGGUGAAGGCCUACCAAGGCGACGACGGGUAGCCGGCCUGAGAGGGCGACCGGCCACACUGGGACUGAGACACGGCCCAGACUCCUACGGGAGGCAGCAGUGGGGAAUAUUGCGCAAUGGGCGAAAGCCUGACGCAGCGACGCCGCGUGGGGGAUGAAGGCCUUCGGGUUGUAAACCUCUUUCAGCAGGGACGAAUUCAGACGGUACCUGCAGAAGAAGCACCGGCCAACUACGUGCCAGCAGCCGCGGUAAUACGUAGGGUGCAAGCGUUGUCCGGAAUUAUUGGGCGUAAAGAGCUCGUAGGCGGUCUGUCGCGUCGGCUGUGAAAACUUGGGGCUCAACCCCAAGCCUGCAGUCGAUACGGGCAGACUAGAGUGCGGUAGGGGAGACUGGAAUUCCUGGU
RNAcentral lists this ribosomal RNA (596 nucleotides) under uncultured bacterium. Its description in RNAcentral is "bacterial SSU rRNA". It matches the Rfam family "Bacterial small subunit ribosomal RNA", at positions 57 to 674 of the family's 1533-position model. The record is from RNAcentral.